UGUUAAAGACCAAACAGCCUAUUCAUUUCUACCAGUGAUUUUUCCUUAAAAUUUUGUGUGAAGGUAUUUCAUGAUUUGAGGAACAAAAUAUGAUGAAAAAAAUUGGGGGUCACCGACUUAGUUUUGUCGCUAUAGCAACCUCAGUUUCGUGUUUUCCCGAAUAUUAACAUAAUAUGUGCUUGUUAUAUAAACUCUCCAAAAAAUACUUUAUAUCAAACCUACAAGCAUAAUUCUUGUUUCACGUUAAACAGUAGAUUUGUAUCUAUCAAAUACAGGUUCAAGAGUUUUAGACUCGUAUUGUUUUGAUCUUUAAAAAUAUGAUUUAUUUCAUUCCCGCCAAAAAUAAAACGUAAAAAUGAAAAACGUUUCCAGUAUUAAAAAAUAUCUACCAGUGAUUUCUUCAUAAUAAUUUCAAGAAGGAAAGUGCCAUGUGUACUCUUCAAAAUAAAGCAAUAAAAAGCGUAUGUCACCGACCUUUCAAAAAAGUUAUAAGUAAUUUUCAUGUUUUUUUUCUCGUUCAUUUUGAAGAAAAGAGUUGUCUUUUUUCAGACCAUUGCAUCUGACGUCAUAGUACAAACUUUCCUUGCUGGCGCACUAUUUGAAAAAAAAUCGCAAAUUGAACGUUUGAAACCCACAUUUAAAUUUCCAAGAAUGACAACUAUAUUCACCUACUUUAUUAUCUGGUAAUACAAGAGAUUAAAUGCAUGUGUCAGUAUCAGAUCUUACGAUGUUGCCGCACAAUAUUAACCUUCAGAAACACCAUCCGUCGGAAUGGAAAAUUGUUUAAAAUAACCUUUCACGCCGCUUUUGUUAGGAAAGUCUGUCUUUGUCCUCUGUCCCACAUAAGCAAAAUGAUUGAAAAUAAAAAAAGAAAUGAAAGAUGGCACUGGUUAACUUACAGAGUAUUUGACUAUACCAGACUAGAUGUGCUUGUUUCUUUUUCGAGUCAAUUUCAGAAGAUUGCCGUAACGAACUCAUUCGGUACUGUUGAAAGACGGACAUACAAAAGCAUGGACGGAGUUCUUUACACCAUUAUUUUUGCCGACAUAGGACGAAC
RNAcentral lists this long non-coding RNA (1057 nucleotides) under Mytilus galloprovincialis (Mediterranean mussel). Lineage: Eukaryota; Metazoa; Mollusca; Bivalvia; Mytilida; Mytilidae. The record is from RNAcentral.